AGAGUUUGAUCAUGGCUCAGAAUGAACGUUGGCGGCGUGGAUUAGGCAUGCAAGUCGAGCGAGAACCUGGCUGUGGAGACUUCGGUCGAAGCAGCCGGGGGAAAGCGGCAAACGGGGUAGUUAUACGUAGGUGACGUGCCCAAGGGUCUGGGAUAGCCACGGGAAACCGUGGGUAAUACCGGAUGAUCUCGCGGAGUGUGAUGAUUCUGCGAGCAAAGGUGUGAUUCCGCCCAUGGAGCGGCUUACGCGGUAUUAGCUGGUUGGUGAGGUAACGGCUCACCAAGGCUGUGAUGCCUAGGGGGUGUUAGCGCAUGACCCCCACCACUGGGACUGAGAUACUGCCCAGACACCUACGGGUGGCUGCAGUCGAGAAUCUUCGGCAAUGGGCGCAAGCCUGACCGAGCGACGCCGCGUGCGGGAUGAAGGCCCUUGGGUUGUAAACCGCUGUCAGAGGGGAUGAAAUGUGGAAGGGUUCUCCCUUUCACUUGACAGAGCCUCAGAGGAAGCACGGGCUAAGUACGUGCCAGCAGCCGCGGUAACACGUACUGUGCAAACGUUAUUCGGAAUUACUGGGCUUAAAGGGUGCGUAGGCGGCCGAUUAAGUAGGGUGUGAAAUCCCUCGGCUCAACCGAGGAAUGGCGCUCUAAACUGGUCGGCUUGAGUGAGAUAGGGGUGUGUGGAACUUCCGGUGGAGCGGUGAAAUGUGUUGAUAUCGGAAGGAACGCCGGUAGCGAAAGCGGCACACUGGGUCUUAACUGACGCUGAGGCACGAAAGCCAGGGUAGCGAACGGGAUUAGAUACCCUAGUAGUCC
This 812-nucleotide ribosomal RNA is filed under the name uncultured bacterium. RNAcentral describes it as "bacterial SSU rRNA". It matches the Rfam family "Bacterial small subunit ribosomal RNA", at positions 8 to 796 of the family's 1533-position model. The record is from RNAcentral.